AACCUUAGGAUAAUGCCA
Molecule: transfer RNA, 18 nt
Filed under: Amolops spinapectoralis
Lineage: Eukaryota; Metazoa; Chordata; Amphibia; Anura; Ranidae
Description: partial tRNA-Trp
Source: RNAcentral